UCUGUUAGUUUGUGAAACCUUUUUGACAGAUGUGGGUGCAUGUAAACAAUAAAUAUCGAAGAAUUGUAAUUCCUCAUAAAUAUUAAUAUAAAUUACAUAAUGUGGCAUCAAAUUAAAAUAAAAAUAUAUUAAAAUGACGCGAAUAGGUGGAAAUGUGGAGUGCAUGGAGAGAAACGAGAGGAGUCAUUUUGCCAACAUCGUUAACUAUGAAAUGAAAUCUGUGCAAGAUUAAAGAGGAGUUUACACAAGGAAAAUAGCAGAAAAACAAAUGGAUGAUAAACAAAUAUCAGAUAAGACUUCGCAGCAAACCAUGUGCUUGCAGAACAUUUAUAGCCGGAGAACAAUCUGCGGGGCAAAAUUGUCAGUGUGUGCCUUGAUGCGCAUCACUCAUGCAGCAUCGUUCUUUGCACUGGAAUCAAUGUGCCAUCAUCGUCAGCUGUGGAAUAAAGUUUAUACAACAUAAAACAAGAAACACAUAAAAAACCUCCUAGUUAACCAUGUGCUGGUGAAGGAAAACUUGAAAUUAUAUCUAACAUGGAAUAUAAGAAUAUAUCUGUUACCAGCAGUGCAACGACUGAUUGACGUAACAAACCAAAAGCAAAUUGUGGUUUCAGAAACGGAGAGCGUUUCUAAAACAUCGAGGAUGGAUGCUUUAACAUUUUUUUAGCAAGAUGAAAAAUCAUAUAUUGAAAAUGGAAGAUGCAACAGCCGUGAGAAAUCAAGGAGUAAAAAAAAUGAAACAUCAAGAAUUAUGAAAAGGAGAACAGAUACUAUAAAUAUAUCUAUAUAUUUAUUUCUCUUUUUCUUCUUAUUAUCAAACUUAAUUCUGAUAACGAAUGUAAUACUAACAACAAAUCUAUAUCUUCAAUAUUUUUUAAUUUGUUCCAAAUAUGUUGCAAAUAAAUUAAUUGCCUGUAAAUAAUUUUCGCGCUUUAUCAUGAUAUUGUUUUUGCCGAUUGUCAUUUUACUUUUCGCCGAUUGUCAUUUUAUUUUUUCGAAUUGUCAUUUUACAUUCUUGUACUAAAAAGUAAUACAUGUGGCAAUAUUAUUUACGUCAUUGUAAGUGCAAUAAACUUUUCUUUAUAAUGGAAAAGAAGUGCAAUAUUGCAAAGAUUCAAACGCCAAAAGUAGAACAUGAUGAGUAUCAUUUUCACCAUAAUAAAUCCUGCAGAAAUACAAAGUAAGGAAAUAUAUUAGAGUUA
Molecule: long non-coding RNA, 1202 nt
Organism: Harpegnathos saltator (Jerdon's jumping ant)
Lineage: Eukaryota; Metazoa; Arthropoda; Insecta; Hymenoptera; Formicidae
Exons: 5
Source: RefSeq, a predicted model, not a curated record